RNAcentral lists this ribosomal RNA (449 nucleotides) under uncultured bacterium. RNAcentral describes it as "bacterial SSU rRNA". It matches the Rfam family "Bacterial small subunit ribosomal RNA", at positions 355 to 825 of the family's 1533-position model. The record is from RNAcentral.
UGAGGAAUUUUCUGCAAUGGGCGAAAGCCUGACAGAGCAAUACCGCGUGAGGGAUGAAGGCCUAUGGGUUGUAAACCUCUUUUCUCAAGGAGGAAGAUAUGACGUUACUUGAGGAAUAAGCAUCGGCUAACCCUGUGCCAGCAGCCGCGGUAAUACAGGGGAUGCAAGUGUUAUCCGGAAUCAUUGGGCGUAAAGCGUCUGCAGGUUGACUUUUAAGUCUUUUGUUAAAGCUCUGGGCUUAACCUAGAAUAUGCAAAGGAAACUAUUUGUCUUGAGUAUGGUAGAGGUAAAGGGAAUUUCCAGUGGAGCGGUGAAAUGCUUAGAUAUUGGAAAGAACACCAACAGCGAAGGCACUUUACUGGGCCAGUACUGACACUGAGAGACGAAAGCUAGGGGAGCAAACGGGAUUAGAUACCCUAGUAGUCCCUGAGCGGGCUGGCAAGGCGCAU